RNAcentral lists this unclassified non-coding RNA (320 nucleotides) under fungal sp. Its description in RNAcentral is "partial internal transcribed spacer region". The stretch from base 1 to 46 matches the Rfam family "Eukaryotic small subunit ribosomal RNA", at positions 1786 to 1831 of the family's 1831-position model. The record is from RNAcentral. Lineage: Eukaryota; Fungi.
AAGUCGUAACAAGGUAACCGUAGGUGAACCUGCGGUUGGAUCAUUACCAAAUCCAAACCCGGUGCUCCUGGCCAGCGUGCGCGUGCUUCAAAACACCAGGCGCCAGCCACGGAGUGCCCUCCAUCCCAUGUGCAACGUUUCUACACACACUGGGGGCGUGGCUUGCUGUGCCCCCUUUCACAACCAUGUGCUUCUCCAAUCACCUGACGUUACCACUCGUGGCAUGUGUGCGUGCUUUCCGCACGCACCCUGGCAUUAGAGCUUAACGAAAAAACAACUUUUGACAACGGAUCUCUUGGCUCUCGCAUCGAUGAAGAAGC